This 525-nucleotide ribosomal RNA is filed under the name gut metagenome. Its description in RNAcentral is "bacterial SSU rRNA". It matches the Rfam family "Bacterial small subunit ribosomal RNA", at positions 481 to 1008 of the family's 1533-position model. The record is from RNAcentral.
GCAGAAAAAGCAACGGCUAACUACGUGCCAGCAGCCGCGGUAAUACGUAGGUUGCAAGCGUUGUCCGGAUUUACUGGGUGUAAAGGGCGUGUAGGCGGAGCUGCAAGUAGAUGUGAAAUCCGGGCUCAACCCAUGAACUGCAUUUGAAACUGUGGCCCUUGAGUAUCGGAGAGGCAAGCGGAAUUCCUAGUGUAGCGGUGAAAUGCGUAGAUAUUAGGAGGAACACCAGUGGCGAAGGCGGCUUGCUGGACGACAACUGACGCUGAGGCGCGAAAGCGUGGGGAGCAAACAGGAUUAGAUACCCUGGUAGUCCACGCUGUAAACGAUGAAUACUAGGUGUGGGAGGACUGACCCCUUCCGUGCCGCAGUUAACACAAUAAGUAUUCCACCUGGGGAGUACGACCACAAGGUUGAAACUCAAAGGAAUUGACGGGGGCCCGCACAAGCAGUGGAUUAUGUGGUUUAAUUCGACGCAACGCGAAGAACCUUACCAGGACUUGACAUCCAACUAACGAAGUAGAGAUA